AUCCAUCUGACGAGUCCCAAAUAGGACGAAACGCUAAUCCUGGAU
Schistosoma mansoni is the source of this 45-nucleotide non-coding RNA. Lineage: Eukaryota; Metazoa; Platyhelminthes; Trematoda; Strigeidida; Schistosomatidae. The record is from Rfam.